CCUACGGGUGGCUGCAGUGGGGAAUAUUGGACAAUGGGGGCAACCCUGAUCCAGCCAUGCCGCGUGUGUGAAGAAGGCCCUCGGGUUGUAAAGCACUUUCAGUGAGGAAGAACGCCUGGUGGUUAAUACCUAUCAGGAAAGACAUCACUCACAGAAGAAGCACCGGCUAACUCCGUGCCAGCAGCCGCGGUAAUACGGAGGGUGCGAGCGUUAAUCGGAAUUACUGGGCGUAAAGCGCGCGUAGGUGGCUUGAUAAGCCGGUUGUGAAAGCCCCGGGCUCAACCUGGGAACGGCAUCCGGAACUGUCAAGCUAGAGUGCAGGAGAGGAAGGUAGAAUUCCCGGUGUAGCGGUGAAAUGCGUAGAGAUCGGGAGGAAUACCAGUGGCGAAGGCGGCCUUCUGGACUGACACUGACACUGAGGUGCGAAAGCGUGGGUAGCAAACAGGAUUAGAUACCCCAGUAGUC
RNAcentral lists this ribosomal RNA (465 nucleotides) under Vreelandella stevensii. Its description in RNAcentral is "partial 16S ribosomal RNA". It matches the Rfam family "Bacterial small subunit ribosomal RNA", at positions 338 to 795 of the family's 1533-position model. Lineage: Bacteria; Pseudomonadati; Pseudomonadota; Gammaproteobacteria; Oceanospirillales; Halomonadaceae. The record is from RNAcentral.